AAAAGCUCGUAGUUGGAUCUCGGCGGUCUGAGGGCGGUUCGCUUGAUUGAGUGCUACUGCUCUAUAGGCCGUGGUUUUGCCAGAGGUCUCGGGGUGCUCUUAACCGAGUGUCCUGCGAUGCUGGCAGGUUUACUUUGAAAAAAUUAGAGUGCUCAAAGCAGGCUUUUACGCCUGAAUAUUCGUGCAUGGAAUAAUAGAAUAGGAAGUCGUUUCUAUUUUGCUGGUUUUCGGAAAUCGACUUAAUGAUUAAUAAGGACAGUCGGGGGCAUUUGUAUUCAAACGACAGAGGUGAAAUUCUUGGACCGUUUGAAGACAAACUACUGCGAAAGCAUUUGCCAAGAAUGUUUUCAUUAAUCAAGAACGAAAGUUAGAGGUUCGAAGGCGAUUAGAUACCGCCCUAGUUCUAACCAUAAACGAUGCCAGCAAGCGAUCUGCCGACGUUUUCUUUGUAGACUCGGCAGGAAGCUUCCGGGAA
Molecule: ribosomal RNA, 475 nt
Filed under: uncultured marine eukaryote
Lineage: Eukaryota
Description: SSU rRNA
Rfam family: Eukaryotic small subunit ribosomal RNA
Source: RNAcentral